Molecule: long non-coding RNA, 380 nt
Organism: Rhipicephalus microplus (southern cattle tick)
Lineage: Eukaryota; Metazoa; Arthropoda; Arachnida; Ixodida; Ixodidae
Source: RefSeq, a predicted model, not a curated record
CAGGUAGAAAUGACUGCUCUACACCCUGCCCUGAAGGGCAGAAAUUUUCCUGCUUCGAAUUAGAAGGAACUUGCUCUUGUACAUGUGCGGAAACUUCCAACCCCUGCGAUGAUCUCCGAGCCAACGAAUGUCCAGAAGGCUAUUUCCGUAGAUGCCGCACUGACAUCAACGGAUGUAGUUGCCGAUGCGAUGUUUAGCAGCAGCCUACGCCCAGGCAAGCUGGGAUCGCAUUGACUAUAUCAUUUUACUUCUUUAAGAAAAGUGCUUCGACCAGCUGAUAUCAGCGGCGGCUUCACUUAACUCUCUUCAACUGGUGUGAUAGGGGAUGACUUUUUAAAAAAGUUUACUUACAGUCUUUAAUAAAGAAGCUGAGCUUUUUC